This 225-nucleotide unclassified non-coding RNA is filed under the name fungal sp. RNAcentral's name for it is "partial internal transcribed spacer region". The stretch from base 1 to 46 matches the Rfam family "Eukaryotic small subunit ribosomal RNA", at positions 1786 to 1831 of the family's 1831-position model. Lineage: Eukaryota; Fungi. The record is from RNAcentral.
AAGUCGUAACAAGGUCUCCGUUGGUGAACCAGCGGAGGGAUCAUUACCGAGUUAUUACUCCAAACCCUUUGUGAACCUUACCUUUUUGUUGCUCGGCGUACCGCGGGCCGCGGCUUCGGCCCGUCCCGCAGCGCGCCAGAGGACCCAACUCUUCAAUUUAUAGCGUACCUUCUGAUUUACAAAACAAACAAGUUAAAACUUUCAACAACGGAUCCCUUGGUUCUG